UACGUAGGGUGCAAGCGUUGUCCGGAAUUAUUGGGCGUAAAGAGCUCGUAGGCGGUUCGUCGCGUCGGCUGUGAAAUCCCGAGGCUCAACCUCGGGUCUGCAGUCGAUACGGGCGGACUGGAGUUCGGCAGGGGAGACUGGAAUUCCUGGUGUAGCGGUGAAAUGCGCAGAUAUCAGGAGGAACACCGGUGGCGAAGGCAGGUCUCUGGGCUGACACUGACGCUCAUGCACGAAAGCGUGGGGAGCAAACAGG
Molecule: ribosomal RNA, 253 nt
Filed under: uncultured bacterium
Lineage: Bacteria
Description: partial 16S ribosomal RNA
Rfam family: Bacterial small subunit ribosomal RNA
Source: RNAcentral